AGAAUCAACGCUGGCGGCGUGCCUAACACAUGCAAGUCGAACGAGAAAGUGGAGCAAUCCAUGAGUAAAGUGGCGCACGGGUGAGUAACACGUGACUAACCUACCCUUGAGUGGGGGAUAACCUAGGGAAACCUGGGCUAAUACCGCAUAAUACCUUCGGGUCAAAGGAGCAAUUCGCUUAAGGAGGGGGUCGCGGCCGAUUAGUUAGUUGGCGGGGUAAUGGCCCACCAAGACUAUGACCGGUAUCC
Molecule: ribosomal RNA, 248 nt
Filed under: uncultured bacterium
Lineage: Bacteria
Description: partial small subunit ribosomal RNA
Rfam family: Bacterial small subunit ribosomal RNA
Source: RNAcentral